CUUAAGUUGGAGAUACGAGAAUAUGGUGUUGUUGGGUAGGCCCCAUGUCUUUUGUAUUUCGGGGAAUUUCAUCAGUCCUUGUGGCUGUAGUAUGUGGUGUAUAUGGGUGAUUCCUGCCUUCAACCAUUUUUGUAAAUGGAUAUCUGGUGAGAUUGCCAUUAAGGCUGUUAAAGGUGCUUUAGGAUGGAAGGUAUGUUUGGCUCCUAGGGUCUCUAAGAAGGUUGUCCAUACUUGGAGGGUAAAUUUUGUUGUAGGGAGCAGGUCGGCCUUAGGUGGCCUGAGUUUUUUUAGGGUCCACAUGUAGUCUAGUGCUGUGUUAUCUUGGAAUUGGGCUUUUUCCAGGUCAACCCAUUGGGUAUU
Molecule: non-coding RNA, 360 nt
Organism: Pelobates cultripes (western spadefoot toad)
Lineage: Eukaryota; Metazoa; Chordata; Amphibia; Anura; Pelobatidae
Source: the annotation of a GenBank genome assembly